UUAAGCGACUAAGCGUACACGGUGGAUGCCCUGGCAGUCAGAGGCGAUGAAGGACGUGCUAAUCUGCGAUAAGCGUCGGUAAGGUGAUAUGAACCGUUAUAACCGGCGAUUUCCGAAUGGGGAAACCCAGUGUGNCACACUAUCAUUAACUGAAUCCAUAGGUUAAUGAGGCGAACCGGGGGAACUGAAACAUCUAAGUACCCCGAGGAAAAGAAAUCAACCGAGAUUCCCCCAGUAGCGGCGAGCGAACGGGGAGCAGCCCAGAGCCUGAAUCAGUGUGUGUGUUAGUGGAAGCGUCUGGAAAGGCGCGCGAUACAGGGUGACAGCCCCGUACACAAAAAUGCACAUGCUGUGAGCUCGAUGAGUAGGGCGGGACACGUGGUAUCCUGUCUGAAUAUGGGGGGACCAUCCUCCAAGGCUAAAUACUCCUGACUGACCGAUAGUGAACCAGUACCGUGAGGGAAAGGCGAAAAGAACCCCGGCGAGGGGAGUGAAAAAGAACCUGAAACCGUGUACGUACAAGCAGUGGGAGCACGCUUAGGCGUGUGACUGCGUACCUUUUGUAUAAUGGGUCAGCGACUUAUAUUCUGUAGCAAGGUUAACCGAAUAGGGGAGCCGAAGGGAAACCGAGUCUUAACUGGGCGUUAAGUUGCAGGGUAUAGACCCGAAACCCGGUGAUCUAGCCAUGGGCAGGUUGAAGGUUGGGUAACACUAACUGGAGGACCGAACCGACUAAUGUUGAAAAAUUAGCGGAUGACUUGUGGCUGGGGGUGAAAGGCCAAUCAAACCGGGAGAUAGCUGGUUCUCCCCGAAAGCUAUUUAGGUAGCGCCUCGUGAAUUCAUCUCCGGGGGUAGAGCACUGUUUCGGCAAGGGGGUCAUCCCGACUUACCAACCCGAUGCAAACUGCGAAUACCGGAGAAUGUUAUCACGGGAGACACACGGCGGGUGCUAACGUCCGUCGUGAAGAGGGAAACAACCCAGACCGCCAGCUAAGGUCCCAAAGUCAUGGUUAAGUGGGAAACGAUGUGGGAAGGCCCAGACAGCCAGGAUGUUGGCUUAGAAGCAGCCAUCAUUUAAAGAAAGCGUAAUAGCUCACUGGUCGAGUCGGCCUGCGCGGAAGAUGUAACGGGGCUAAACCAUGCACCGAAGCUGCGGCAGCGACGCUGAUGCGUUGUUGGGUAGGGGAGCGUUCUGUAAGCCUGCGAAGGUGUGCUGUGAGGCAUGCUGGAGGUAUCAGAAGUGCGAAUGCUGACAUAAGUAACGAUAAAGCGGGUGAAAAGCCCGCUCGCCGGAAGACCAAGGGUUCCUGUCCAACGUUAAUCGGGGCAGGGUGAGUCGACCCCUAAGGCGAGGCCGAAAGGCGUAGUCGAUGGGAAACAGGUUAAUAUUCCUGUACUUGGUGUUACUGCGAAGGGGGGACGGAGAAGGCUAUGUUGGCCGGGCGACGGUUGUCCCGGUUUAAGCGUGUAGGCUGGUUUUCCAGGCAAAUCCGGAAAAUCAAGGCUGAGGCGUGAUGACGAGGCACUACGGUGCUGAAGCAACAAAUGCCCUGCUUCCAGGAAAAGCCUCUAAGCAUCAGGUAACAUCAAAUCGUACCCCAAACCGACACAGGUGGUCAGGUAGAGAAUACCAAGGCGCUUGAGAGAACUCGGGUGAAGGAACUAGGCAAAAUGGUGCCGUAACUUCGGGAGAAGGCACGCUGAUAUGUAGGUGAAGUCCCUCGCGGAUGGAGCUGAAAUCAGUCGAAGAUACCAGCUGGCUGCAACUGUUUAUUAAAAACACAGCACUGUGCAAACACGAAAGUGGACGUAUACGGUGUGACGCCUGCCCGGUGCCGGAAGGUUAAUUGAUGGGGUCAGCGCAAGCGAAGCUCUUGAUCGAAGCCCCGGUAAACGGCGGCCGUAACUAUAACGGUCCUAAGGUAGCGAAAUUCCUUGUCGGGUAAGUUCCGACCUGCACGAAUGGCGUAAUGAUGGCCAGGCUGUCUCCACCCGAGACUCAGUGAAAUUGAACUCGCUGUGAAGAUGCAGUGUACCCGCGGCAAGACGGAAAGACCCCGUGAACCUUUACUAUAGCUUGACACUGAACAUUGAGCCUUGAUGUGUAGGAUAGGUGGGAGGCUUUGAAGUGUGGACGCCAGUCUGCAUGGAGCCGACCUUGAAAUACCACCCUUUAAUGUUUGAUGUUCUAACGUUGACCCGUAAUCCGGGUUGCGGACAGUGUCUGGUGGGUAGUUUGACUGGGGCGGUCUCCUCCUAAAGAGUAACGGAGGAGCACGAAGGUUGGCUAAUCCUGGUCGGACAUCAGGAGGUUAGUGCAAUGGCAUAAGCCAGCUUGACUGCGAGCGUGACGGCGCGAGCAGGUGCGAAAGCAGGUCAUAGUGAUCCGGUGGUUCUGAAUGGAAGGGCCAUCGCUCAACGGAUAAAAGGUACUCCGGGGAUAACAGGCUGAUACCGCCCAAGAGUUCAUAUCGACGGCGGUGUUUGGCACCUCGAUGUCGGCUCAUCACAUCCUGGGGCUGAAGUAGGUCCCAAGGGUAUGGCUGUUCGCCAUUUAAAGUGGUACGCGAGCUGGGUUUAGAACGUCGUGAGACAGUUCGGUCCCUAUCUGCCGUGGGCGCUGGAGAACUGAGGGGGGCUGCUCCUAGUACGAGAGGACCGGAGUGGACGCAUCACUGGUGUUCGGGUUGUCAUGCCAAUGGCACUGCCCGGUAGCUAAAUGCGGAAGAGAUAAGUGCUGAAAGCAUCUAAGCACGAAACUUGCCCCGAGAUGAGUUCUCCCUGACUCCUUGAGAGUCCUGAAGGAACGUUGAAGACGACGACGUUGAUAGGCCGGGUGUGUAAGCGCAGCGAUGCGUUGAGCUAACCGGUACUAAUGAACCGUGAGGCUUAACCUU
RNAcentral lists this ribosomal RNA (2897 nucleotides) under Escherichia coli. RNAcentral describes it as "bacterial LSU rRNA". It matches the Rfam family "Bacterial large subunit ribosomal RNA". Lineage: Bacteria; Pseudomonadati; Pseudomonadota; Gammaproteobacteria; Enterobacterales; Enterobacteriaceae. The record is from RNAcentral.